GAUGAACGCUGGCGGCGUGCCUAACACAUGCAAGUCGAACGGGAUGCGUAUUGGAAAGCUUCGGCCGGAAGAUACGUUAUCUAGUGGCGGACGGGUGAGUAACACGUGGGUAACCUGCCUUAUGGAGGGGGAUAACAGAGAGAAAUCACUGCUAAUACCGCAUAAGCACACAGUACCGCAUGGUACAGGGUGAAAAGAUUUAUCACCAUAAGAUGGACCCGCGUCUGAUUAGCCAGUUGGCAGGGUAAAAGCCUACCAAAGCAACGAUCAGUAGCCGAUCUGAGAGGAUGACCGGCCACAUUGGGACUGAGACACGGCCCAAACUCCUACGGGAGGCAGCAGUGGGGAAUAUUGCACAAUGGGGGAAACCCUGAUGCAGCGACGCCGCGUGAGUGAAGAAGUAUUUCGGUAUGUAAAGCUCUAUCAGCAGGGAAGAUAAUGACAGUACCUGACUAAGAAGCCCCGGCUAACUACGUGCCAGCAGCCGCGGUAAUACGUAGGGGGCAAGCGUUAUCCGGAUUUACUGGGUGUAAAGGGAGCGUAGACGGAAUGGCAAGUCUGAAGUGAAAUACCCGGGCUCAACCUGGGAACUGCUUUGGAAACUGUUGUUCUAGAGUGUUGGAGAGGUAAGUGGAAUUCCUGGUGUAGCGGUGAAAUGCGUAGAUAUCAGGAAGAACACCGGAGGCGAAGGCGGCUUACUGGACAAUAACUGACGUUGAGGCUCGAAAGCGUGGGGAUCAAACAGG
Molecule: ribosomal RNA, 746 nt
Filed under: uncultured Oribacterium sp.
Lineage: Bacteria; Bacillati; Bacillota; Clostridia; Lachnospirales; Lachnospiraceae
Description: bacterial SSU rRNA
Rfam family: Bacterial small subunit ribosomal RNA
Source: RNAcentral